CCUACGGGUGGCAGCAGUGAGGAAUAUUGGUCAAUGGGCGUAAGUCUGAACCAGCCAAGUCGCGUGCGGGAUGAAGGUUCUAUGGAUCGUAAACCUCUUUUAUAAGGGAAUAAAGUGUGGGACGUGUCCUAUUUUGUAUGUACCUUAUGAAUAAGGAUCGGCUAACUCCGUGCCAGCAGCCGCGGUAAUACGGAGGAUCCGAGCGUUAUCCGGAUUUAUUGGGUUUAAAGGGUGCGUAGGCGGCCUGUUAAGUCAGCGGUGAAAGUCUGUGGCUCAACCAUGGAAUUGCCGUUGAAACUGGGGGGCUUGAGUGCGUUUGAGGCAGGCGGAAUGCGUGGUGUAGCGGUGAAAUGCUUAGAUAUCACGCAGAACCCCGAUGGCGAAGGCAGCCUGCCAAGCCAUGACUGACGCUGAGGCACGAAAGUGUGGGGAUCAAACAGGAUUAGAUACCCGAGUAGUC
This 460-nucleotide ribosomal RNA is filed under the name uncultured bacterium. RNAcentral's name for it is "partial 16S ribosomal RNA". It matches the Rfam family "Bacterial small subunit ribosomal RNA", at positions 338 to 795 of the family's 1533-position model. The record is from RNAcentral.